UAUGACAGAACUGUGGGGACACGUAAGGAAAGCGGAAGCCGGGAAUGGAAAGCCCGGUGCAAGCGGGGUACCAGUCACUUAGGAAAAUCCGGGUGGCAAUGGGAAGCCGUGAUGCGGAGCGAAAUACAAGUAGUGAAGUCCGUGAGCCAUGCGUCAAGAAAAGCCGCUAUUGUUUAUACCGUACCCGUACCGUAAACCGACACAGGUGGAUGAG
Molecule: ribosomal RNA, 214 nt
Filed under: Blautia faecis
Lineage: Bacteria; Bacillati; Bacillota; Clostridia; Lachnospirales; Lachnospiraceae
Description: partial 23S ribosomal RNA
Rfam family: Bacterial large subunit ribosomal RNA
Source: RNAcentral